AGAGAGAACUGCAGCUCUUCGUCUUUGAAGGCUUCCAAAAGGGCUAAUGUUUUAGCGGAGCCUUGACAGACUAGUAAAAGUUGGCUAGAUAAAAGAGUGUUUCGAUCUCAAGGGGAAAGAGACUGUAUCCCCAACACCAGUAAAGUGCCACAUCACUGCGCUUUUACUGGAUGGGUGGAUGAAUAAACAACGCACGUGAGGAAGGCAGACCGUGAGUUCAGAGAGCUUGAGUUUGUCUGAGUGUGAGGUGGUGACACAUGUAGUGAAGUUGAGGCGGGAGCGGUAGGUCUGGAGCCAGAUCGGGAAGGGUUUUGUGUGCUAAGCCGAGGAAUUUCAACUUGAUCUCGUUGGCAGCAGCAUGCCCUCGAAAACUUUAAAGCAGGAAGGUGAUAGGAUCGGAACCGUCUUCUUAAAAGAUUAACCUGCAAAAGGCCAGGCUGGGGGAGAAAUGAGAGUAAGGGAAACCAUAUCAGGAGGCUGUCGGGACAGAGAAGAUUCAAUCACCCGGAGAGUUGUUCAAUCUCAGCUCCAAAAUUCCAAGGGAAAGAACUAUGGAAUUAGCCCAGCACACCAGAAGCAUCCAACCCAGUAACUCGUGGCUCGGUGCAGUCAAGCUCAUCCCCGAUCACCUGGCCCCUGGAGCAUCCCCCCCACCCCCCAAGCAAAGACCU
This is a long non-coding RNA of Pteropus alecto (black flying fox), 671 nucleotides long. RefSeq lists it as uncharacterized. Lineage: Eukaryota; Metazoa; Chordata; Mammalia; Chiroptera; Pteropodidae. The record is from RefSeq and is a predicted model, not a curated record. The transcript is spliced from 3 exons.